This 222-nucleotide unclassified non-coding RNA is filed under the name plant metagenome. RNAcentral describes it as "partial contains small subunit ribosomal RNA, internal transcribed spacer 1, and 5.8S ribosomal RNA". The record is from RNAcentral.
UUUCCGUAGGUGAACCUGCGGAAGGAUCAUUAAAGAACGCCCCGUUUUUUGAAAUGGGUAAUUCUAAACCGUGUAUACAUACCUUUGUUGCUUUGGCAGGCCGCCCCUCAGGGCGUCGGCUCCGGCCGACUGCGCCUGCCAGAGGACCCAAACUCUUUUGUUUAGUGAUGUCUGAGUACUAUAUAAUAGUUAAAACUUUCAACAACGGAUCUCUUGGUUCUG